CCCAAGAUCAGGACCUGAGCCAAAAUCCAGAGUCAGGACGCCCAACCGACUGAGCCACCCAGGUGCCCCUAAGUUGAAACCUUUCUAAGUUUACAUAUAGUUUGACAAUUUAAGAGAAUAUAAGCUUGACUGUUUUUGCAUGCUUAAUUUAUUAAAUCUUAUGAGAGUCACUUUAGUACUUGGGAAGGCUUGUCAGUCAGAUAAAGUACUUGAAGAGGAAUGGAAUAUAUUAAAUUUAUAAAUGCUGCUUAAAAUGUUAAAGAGGUUUAAUUAACUAAGUGUAUAAAUGGGACCAAACAUUAAUCAAAAUCCCUCUCAGAGUGAUUGUUAAUAUUUGUUAGACUUAUAAAUAGGAUAAUAAGCUUCCUAAGCUGAUUUUGAAAGCUGAAGGAAGGGCAAUGCAUUUCUGAAUCUCUAUUUUCAAUAAAUCAAAUACUAAUUUUCAAGACCCAAGUAGAGCUAUGCAUGGUCUUUUCUGUGCACCAGAGCUACCUUCAAGGAAUAAAAAACUCCUCUAAGCAGUGAGUGAGUCUUCAGUGAUGCCGAAGGGAGCAGGGUGAGUGGAACUGGAGAAAGGGAAAUAAGAUUUCAGGGUCAUCAGGAUUGUCUCGUUCCCAGGGUCAGGCUAGUUAGUUUAUCCCACCCAAUGCCAAAUUGCUCAGGUCGCAGGGAGACACUAAGUGAGACACUAAGUAAGUACCGUGUGCAGGGUCAGAGUCGCUGACCAAGGUGUUUGGCAACGCAGCGGGGGAGGUCUGGGUGGCCUUGGGCCCCUCGCCGCCCCCUCAGAAAGCCCUUCUAGAGAGCCCUGCUCUCUUGGGUGUAAGUUAUUCCUCAAGUGAUUUCCCCUGGGCAGGAGGUGUUCGUGGGAGAGGCCGAGGUUUUUGUCUUCCAGGGGUGUUUGCAGCCCAGGGCCAGUGAAUGUGCAUCAAUCAAAAUGCUCGUAUGGACCUCAAAGAAGCAAGUUCCAGCCAAUUUAAGCAGAAACAGCUGUCGAAAGCCACUCAGAGCCACUGGGAAGUGGCAUCAUGUUGAUAGCUUGAUCAGCCAUAGCGGGAGUAUCUACACCACAGAAAUGAGCAGACACUGCAGACUAGGUCUCCCAUCCCUUAACAGCAGACUGAUCAAUUUAUAUCAGGACACCACUGCUUAUAAGAAGACGGAUGACUCGAUUUCCCAUCCUCAGGCUGUGCGAGUCCCUGGAGAGGACCCGGCAGAUGCGAGAGGAAGAAGACGGAAGUCCUCCGGAGAACUGACCCAGCCUUGAAGGCAAAACCCGAAUAUUAAGAGUAAAUGAGGAGGUGAUGGACAGGGGAAUAAAACAGGAGAAUGAAGGAUUUA
Molecule: long non-coding RNA, 1341 nt
Organism: Leptonychotes weddellii (Weddell seal)
Lineage: Eukaryota; Metazoa; Chordata; Mammalia; Carnivora; Phocidae
Source: RefSeq, a predicted model, not a curated record